AUCCAGCUGACGAGUCCCAAAUAGGACGAAACGCGUGUCCUGAAU
Schistosoma mansoni is the source of this 45-nucleotide non-coding RNA. The record is from Rfam. NCBI's taxonomy places the organism in Eukaryota, Metazoa, Platyhelminthes, Trematoda, Strigeidida, Schistosomatidae.